Pelobates cultripes (western spadefoot toad) is the source of this 240-nucleotide non-coding RNA. The record is from the annotation of a GenBank genome assembly. NCBI's taxonomy places the organism in Eukaryota, Metazoa, Chordata, Amphibia, Anura, Pelobatidae.
AUUACAUUGGAUGCUGAGUAUAAGUUAUAUGGUUUGAAAUGAAUUGGUGUGUUAUGUGUUUUAUGUAUUUUAUUGUCCAUUGUGUAGGAGUUUAACUAGCGGAGUGAUUUGCAUAUCAUUAACGCAAGCAUUUAGUGUUUUUACAAAAGGUGAAAUGCUGUCCAGCCGGCUAGAAUGAAACAAUUGUAUGCUAUCGCUCCUGGAGCAAGAAAAGCGCUUGUUACGUCCCACGUGAAAGGG